This 471-nucleotide ribosomal RNA is filed under the name uncultured bacterium. Its description in RNAcentral is "partial 16S ribosomal RNA". It matches the Rfam family "Bacterial small subunit ribosomal RNA", at positions 29 to 507 of the family's 1533-position model. The record is from RNAcentral.
ACGAACGCUGGCGGCGUGCUUCACACAUGCAAGUCGAACGCUGAAGCUUGGUGCUUGCACUGGGUGGAUGCGUGGCGAACGGGUGAGUAAUACGUGAGUAACCUGCCCUUGACUCUGGGAUAAGCCUGGGAAACUGGGUCUAAUACUGGAUACGACAUGUCACCGCAUGGUGGUGUGUGGAAAGGGUUUUACUGGUUUUGGAUGGGCUCACGGCCUAUCAGCUUGUUGGUGGGGUAAUGGCUCACCAAGGCGACGACGGGUAGCCGGCCUGAGAGGGUGACCGGCCACACUGGGACUGAGACACGGCCCAGACUCCUACGGGAGGCAGCAGUGGGGAAUAUUGCACAAUGGGCGGAAGCCUGAUGCAGCGACGCCGCGUGAGGGAUGACGGCCUUCGGGUUGUAAACCUCUUUCAGCACGGAAGAAGCGAAAGUGACGGUACGUGCAGAAGAAGCGCCGGCUAACUACGUG